RNAcentral lists this unclassified non-coding RNA (208 nucleotides) under Hevea brasiliensis (rubber tree). The record is from RNAcentral. Lineage: Eukaryota; Viridiplantae; Streptophyta; Magnoliopsida; Malpighiales; Euphorbiaceae.
UAAAACACCGCUCUUUAUAUCCCAAAAAAAAGGAAGCAGAAGAAAAAGAGCGGUGUUUUAUUUAUAUUUUUGCUUUAACUAGAUAAAACUGAUUUCAAAUUAGCUGACUAGAUUUUGAAUGGGAUUUAUGAUUUUAUCUUACUCACCUAAGUAGUUUGGAAAUCAUACUAUUCUUGCUUAUUAUCUCAAUUUGAUGCUACAGUCUACA